This 1295-nucleotide ribosomal RNA is filed under the name Duganella sp. RNAcentral describes it as "bacterial SSU rRNA". It matches the Rfam family "Bacterial small subunit ribosomal RNA", at positions 112 to 1409 of the family's 1533-position model. Lineage: Bacteria; Pseudomonadati; Pseudomonadota; Betaproteobacteria; Burkholderiales; Oxalobacteraceae. The record is from RNAcentral.
AAUAUAUCGGAACGUACCCUGGAGUGGGGGAUAACGUAGCGAAAGUUACGCUAAUACCGCAUACGAUCCAAGGAUGAAAGCAGGGGACCGCAAGGCCUUGUGCUCCUGGAGCGGCCGAUAUCUGAUUAGCUAGUUGGUAGGGUAAAAGCCUACCAAGGCAUCGAUCAGUAGCUGGUCUGAGAGGACGACCAGCCACACUGGAACUGAGACACGGUCCAGACUCCUACGGGAGGCAGCAGUGGGGAAUUUUGGACAAUGGGCGCAAGCCUGAUCCAGCAAUGCCGCGUGAGUGAAGAAGGCCUUCGGGUUGUAAAGCUCUUUUGUCAGGGAAGAAACGGGUCUYUCUAAUACAGAGAGCUAAUGACGGUACCUGAAGAAUAAGCACCGGCUAACUACGUGCCAGCAGCCGCGGUAAUACGUAGGGUGCAAGCGUUAAUCGGAAUUACUGGGCGUAAAGCGUGCGCAGGCGGUUUUGUAAGACUGACGUGAAAUCCCCGGGCUCAACCUGGGAAUGGCGUUGGUGACUGCAAGGCUAGAGUUUGGCAGAGGGGGGUAGAAUUCCACGUGUAGCAGUGAAAUGCGUAGAUAUGUGGAGGAACACCGAUGGCGAAGGCAGCCCCCUGGGUCAAAACUGACGCUCAUGCACGAAAGCGUGGGGAGCAAACAGGAUUAGAUACCCUGGUAGUCCACGCCCUAAACGAUGUCUACUAGUUGUCGGGUCUUAAUUGACUUGGUAACGCAGCUAACGCGUGAAGUAGACCGCCUGGGGAGUACGGUCGCAAGAUUAAAACUCAAAGGAAUUGACGGGGACCCGCACAAGCGGUGGAUGAUGUGGAUUAAUUCGAUGCAACGCGAAAAACCUUACCUACCCUUGACAUGGCAGGAAUCCCGGAGAGAUUUGGGAGUGCUCGAAAGAGAACCUGCACACAGGUGCUGCAUGGCUGUCGUCAGCUCGUGUCGUGAGAUGUUGGGUUAAGUCCCGCAACGAGCGCAACCCUUGUCAUUAGUUGCUACGAAAGGGCACUCUAAUGAGACUGCCGGUGACAAACCGGAGGAAGGUGGGGAUGACGUCAAGUCCUCAUGGCCCUUAUGGGUAGGGCUUCACACGUCAUACAAUGGUACAUACAGAGCGCCGCCAACCCGCGAGGGGGAGCUAAUCGCAGAAAGUGUAUCGUAGUCCGGAUUGUAGUCUGCAACUCGACUGCAUGAAGUUGGAAUCGCUAGUAAUCGCGGAUCAGCAUGUCGCGGUGAAUACGUUCCCGGGUCUUGUACACACCGCCCGUCACACCAUGGGA